RNAcentral lists this microRNA (22 nucleotides) under Dasypus novemcinctus (nine-banded armadillo). RNAcentral's name for it is "Dno-Mir-8-P2a_5p* (star (passenger))". RNAcentral also lists the same sequence under 1 other name. The record is from RNAcentral. Lineage: Eukaryota; Metazoa; Chordata; Mammalia; Cingulata; Dasypodidae.
CAUCUUACUGGACAGUGCUGGA